This 19-nucleotide transfer RNA is filed under the name Musa aurantiaca. RNAcentral describes it as "partial tRNA-Leu". RNAcentral also lists the same sequence under 2 other names. Lineage: Eukaryota; Viridiplantae; Streptophyta; Magnoliopsida; Zingiberales; Musaceae. The record is from RNAcentral.
CAAGUCCCUCUAUCCCCAA